CAAGAUUAGGGCAAGGGAGAAACUCAACCUUUGCCCCCUCCUUUCCCCUGAUGCUGAUCAAACCCCGCCACUACCACCAACAACAACUGCUUUGGCAGCAGGACCUGCCGGCUUCCUCCUCCCUAAUGAAGAGAGAGAUUUUACUCCACCUACUAGUAGCAAUGAAGGAGGAGAUGGUCGGCCAUGGCCUAAAUUCAUCACUGCUAUCCCCACCACUUGCAUCCUUCUUCAACUACCUGCCUCACAUUACUUUUUCUUUUUUAAAUACUUUCGUCAUUACUAUGAUCAUUAUUGGUUUGAGCCCCUCACAAAUCUGAUGACUGAGGUGGUCAUUCCUAGCUAAGAUUGGCCUACACACUGUUCGCAUAUUGAUUUGAAGCCAUCCAUCCAUACCUUUUACUAAUUAAGGGUUGCUUCAAAAACUCAAAGAUCGUCUCUCCUCUGGUGAAGGGCUGGAUAAUGGGAGACGCACAAUCUGGCUGCUGCUUUCCUGCCCUGCAACCUGGCCAUUGCAUGACAUCAUGAUAUUACAUAGUUCUUUUGACCUAGUGAUAUCAGAGUUUGACCUUACAUCACUUUUGAUAUCAUAUAUAUAUUCAUUUGUAGACUACAAAUUAAGGCUGUAAGUGAAUAUGAAAAGACCAACAUUUGCUUACCUGAUCAGGAAAAUAAAGCACGACACCAAUAUCAUCCUUAGUCUAAUUUUCUCAGUUACUGGGAGUAAACCGUUCAAGUGCACUCGACUCCCUAGUUUUCCACUGUCUUUCAGCAGCCCUCUUUCUGUCUGUCUUGCCAUUUU
RNAcentral lists this long non-coding RNA (799 nucleotides) under Amborella trichopoda. RNAcentral describes it as "long non-coding RNA (ATRI_LNC000350)". Lineage: Eukaryota; Viridiplantae; Streptophyta; Magnoliopsida; Amborellales; Amborellaceae. The record is from RNAcentral.